GAUGAACGCUGGCGGUAUGCUUAACACAUGCAAGUCGAACGGACUCUUCGGAGUUAGUGGCGGACGGGUGAGUAACGCGUGAGAAUCUGGCUUUGGGUUCGGGACAACCACUGGAAACGGUGGCUAAUACCGGAUGUGCCGAGAGGUAAAAGAGAAAUUGCCUGAAGAUGAGCUCGCGUCUGAUUAGCUAGUUGGUGAGGUAAAGGCUCACCAAGGCAGCGAUCAGUAGCUGGUCUGAGAGGAUGACCGGCCACACUGGGACUGGGACGCGGCCCAGACUCCUACUGGGGGCAGCAGUGGAGAAUUAUCCGCAAUGGGCGAAAGCCUGACGGAGGAAUACCGCGUGAGGGAAGAAGUCUCUUGGGUUGAAAACCUCUUUUCUUAGGGAAGAACAAAAUGACGGUACCUAAGGAAUCAGCAUCGGCUAACUCCGUG
Molecule: ribosomal RNA, 435 nt
Filed under: uncultured bacterium
Lineage: Bacteria
Description: partial 16S ribosomal RNA
Rfam family: Bacterial small subunit ribosomal RNA
Source: RNAcentral